GACGAACGCUGGCGGCGUGCUUAACACAUGCAAGUCGAACGGAAAGGCCCUGCUUUUGUGGGGUGCUCGAGUGGCGAACGGGUGAGUAACACGUGAGUAACCUCCCCUUGACUUUGGGAUAACUUCAGGAGACUGGGGCUAAUACCGGAUAGGAGCUCCUGCUGCAUGGUGGGGGUUGGAAAGUUUCGGCGGUUGGGGAUGGACUCGCGGCUUAUCAGCUUGUUGGUGGGGUAGUGGCUUACCAAGGCUUUGACGGGUAGCCGGCCUGAGAGGGUGACCGGCCACAUUGGGACUGAGAUACGGCCCAGACUCCUACGGGAGGCAGCAGUGGGGAAUAUUGCACAAUGGGCGGAAGCCUGAUGCAGCAACGCCGCGUGCGGGAUGACGGCCUUCGGGUUGUAAACCGCUUUCGCCUGUGACGAAGCGUGAGUGACGGUAAUGGGUAAAGAAGCACCGGCUAACUACGUG
This 468-nucleotide ribosomal RNA is filed under the name uncultured bacterium. Its description in RNAcentral is "partial 16S ribosomal RNA". It matches the Rfam family "Bacterial small subunit ribosomal RNA", at positions 28 to 507 of the family's 1533-position model. The record is from RNAcentral.